This 254-nucleotide ribosomal RNA is filed under the name uncultured bacterium. RNAcentral's name for it is "partial 16S ribosomal RNA". It matches the Rfam family "Bacterial small subunit ribosomal RNA", at positions 524 to 776 of the family's 1533-position model. The record is from RNAcentral.
UACGUAGGGGGCAAGCGUUGUCCGGAUUUAUUGGGCGUAAAGAGCGUGUAGGCGGCCAUGCAGGUCAGCUGUGAAACUCGAGGCUCAACCUCGAGACGUCGGUUGAAACCGCAUGGCUAGAGUCCGGAAGAGGAGAGUGGAAUUCCCGGUGUAGCGGUGAAAUGCGCAGAUAUCGGGAAGAACACCUAUGGCGAAGGCAGCUCUCUGGGACGGUACUGGACGCUGAAGACGCGAAAGCGUGGGGAGCAAACAGG